Molecule: unclassified non-coding RNA, 326 nt
Filed under: soil metagenome
Description: partial contains 5.8S ribosomal RNA, internal transcribed spacer 2, and large subunit ribosomal RNA
Rfam family: 5.8S ribosomal RNA (bases 1-120)
Source: RNAcentral
GAUGAAGAACGUAGCGAAAUGCGAUAAGUAAUGUGAAUUGCAGAAUUCAGUGAAUCAUCGAAUCUUUGAACGCACAUUGCGCCCCUUGGUAUUCCGAGGGGCAUGCCUGUUCGAGCGUCAUUAUCACCCCUCAAGCUUUGCUUGGUGUUGGGGCCUGCUGUAAUAGGCAGCCCUUAAAAUCAGUGGCGGUGCUUCAAGGCUCUAAGCGUAGUAAUUCUCCUCGCUAUAGUGUCUAGUGGUUGCCAGCCAGAACCCCCCAAUUUUCAUGAUUGACCUCGGAUCAGGUAGGGAUACCCGCUGAACUUAAGCAUAUCAAUAAGCGAGGA